GUAGGGAAUAUUGGGCAAUGGAUGCAAGUCUGACCCAGCCAUCCCGCGUGCCGGAAGAAGGCCCUCAGGGUUGUAAACGGCUUUUGACGGUGAAGAACCGACAGGAUGCGUCCUGUUUUGACGGUAGCCGUUGAAUAAGCACCGGCUAACUCCGUGCCAGCAGCCGCGGUAAUACGGAGGGUGCGAGCGUUGUCCGGAUUUAUUGGGUUUAAAGGGUGCGUAGGCUGGAAGGUCAGUCAGCGGUGAAAAGCUAUCGCUUAACGAUAGUCUUGGCGCAGAUACUUCCUUUCUUGGAUGAGGAGGAGGCCACUGGAACGGAUGGUGUAGCGGUGAAAUGCAUAGAUAUCAUCCAGAACACCGAUUGCGAAGGCAGGUGGCUGUACCUUAAUCGACGCUGAUGCACGAAAGCAUGGGGAGCAAACAGGAUUAGAAACCCCUGUAGUCC
RNAcentral lists this ribosomal RNA (445 nucleotides) under uncultured bacterium. RNAcentral's name for it is "partial 16S ribosomal RNA". It matches the Rfam family "Bacterial small subunit ribosomal RNA", at positions 354 to 796 of the family's 1533-position model. The record is from RNAcentral.